GAUGAAGAACGUAGCGAAAUGCGAUACGUAAUGUGAAUUGCAGAUUUCAGUGAAUCAUCGAAUCUUUGAACGCACAUUGCGCCCGCUAGUAUUCUGGCGGGCAUGCCUGUUCGAGCGUCAUUUCAACCAUCAAGCCCUAGGCUUGCGUUGGAGCCCUGCGGCUGCCGCAGGCUCCCAAAUCCAGAGGCGGGCUCGUCGUCGUACCGAGUGCAGUAAACAUCCUCGCUCAGGGAACGUGACGGGUUCUUGCCGUGAAACCCCCCACAUAUCAAGGUUGACCUCGGAUCAGGUAGGAAUACCCGCUGAACUUAAGCAUAUCAAUAAGCGGAGGA
Molecule: unclassified non-coding RNA, 332 nt
Filed under: soil metagenome
Description: partial contains 5.8S ribosomal RNA, internal transcribed spacer 2, and large subunit ribosomal RNA
Rfam family: 5.8S ribosomal RNA (bases 1-120)
Source: RNAcentral